RNAcentral lists this transfer RNA (19 nucleotides) under Macquaria australasica (Macquarie perch). RNAcentral's name for it is "partial tRNA-Phe". The record is from RNAcentral. Lineage: Eukaryota; Metazoa; Chordata; Actinopteri; Centrarchiformes; Percichthyidae.
GCUAGCGUAGCUUAAUUAA